Molecule: ribosomal RNA, 370 nt
Filed under: uncultured organism
Description: bacterial SSU rRNA
Rfam family: Bacterial small subunit ribosomal RNA
Source: RNAcentral
CGUAGGCAGCAAGCGUUGUUCGGAGUUACUGGGCGUAAAGGGUGUGUAGGCGGUUGUUUAAGUUUGGUGUGAAAUCUCCCGGCUCAACUGGGAGGGUGCGCCGAAUACUGAAUGACUCGAGUACGGGAGAGGAAAGUGGAAUUCCUGGUGUAGCGGUGAAAUGCGUAGAUAUCAGGAGGAACACCGGUGGUGUAGACGGCUUUCUGGACCGUAACUGACGCUGAGACACGAAAGCGUGGGUAGCAAACAGGAUUAGAUACCCUGGUAGUCCACGCCCUAAACGAUGCAUAUUUGGUGUGGGCAGUUCAUUCUGUCCGUGCCGGAGCUAACGCGUUAAAUAUGCCGCCUGGGGAGUACAGUCGCAAGGCUG